This 207-nucleotide ribosomal RNA is filed under the name uncultured bacterium. RNAcentral's name for it is "partial 16S ribosomal RNA". It matches the Rfam family "Bacterial small subunit ribosomal RNA", at positions 568 to 774 of the family's 1533-position model. The record is from RNAcentral.
CGCGUAGGCGGCUUGGUAAGUAGGGGGUGAAAUCUCACGGCUCAACUGUGAGGCUGCCUUCUAGACUGCCGAGCUCGAGCACAGUAGAGGCAGGUGGAAUUCCCGGUGUAGCGGUGGAAUGCGUAGAGAUCGGGAAGAACAUCGGUGGCGAAGGCGGCCUGCUGGGCUGUUGCUGACGCUGAUGCGCGACAGCGUGGGGAGCAAACA